RNAcentral lists this ribosomal RNA (236 nucleotides) under Escherichia coli. Its description in RNAcentral is "partial 23S ribosomal RNA". It matches the Rfam family "Bacterial large subunit ribosomal RNA", at positions 1920 to 2155 of the family's 2925-position model. Lineage: Bacteria; Pseudomonadati; Pseudomonadota; Gammaproteobacteria; Enterobacterales; Enterobacteriaceae. The record is from RNAcentral.
CCGGUAAACGGCGGCCGUAACUAUAACGGUCCUAAGGUAGCGAAAUUCCUUGUCGGGUAAGUUCCGACCUGCACGAAUGGCGUAAUGAUGGCCAGGCUGUCUCCACCCGAGACUCAGUGAAAUUGAACUCGCUGUGAAGAUGCAGUGUACCCGCGGCAAGACGGAAAGACCCCGUGAACCUUUACUAUAGCUUGACACUGAACAUUGAGCCUUGAUGUGUAGGAUAGGUGGGAGGC